UACGUAGGGACCAAGCGUUGUCCGGAAUCAUUGGGCGUAAAGAGCGUGUAGGCGGCUUGUUAAGUCUUGCGUGAAAUCUCGGGGCUCAACCCCGAGCGGUCGUGAGAAACUGGCAGGCUAGAGUGCGGGAGAGGAGAGUGGAAUUCCUGGUGUAGCGGUGAAAUGCGCAGAUAUCAGGAGGAACACCGGUGGCGAAGGCGGAUCUCUGGGCCAUUACUGACGCUGAGGAGCGAAAGCGUGGGGAGCGAACAGG
Molecule: ribosomal RNA, 253 nt
Filed under: uncultured bacterium
Lineage: Bacteria
Description: partial 16S ribosomal RNA
Rfam family: Bacterial small subunit ribosomal RNA
Source: RNAcentral